ACAGAUUCGUUCUUCCCCCUUACUCUGCUCUCCAGGAAUUGGCUUUUUACAAACAUUUCCAAGGCUACUUUCGUCAACUGCCGUCAAGCUAGGUGGGAUAAAUGGGAAGCUGUGAUAUGAGUUUGGGGCCAAAGAAAGGGAUAAGUCGAGCUGGCCACACAACCGUCUCACUGCUUCAGGAAGUAGCCUGAUCUCUCUGUGGUUCUAAUUCUAAUCAGGGUUCUAAACAGCCGCUCCCACUGUGAUGUCACCUUCUGCUGUGUGGCCCUUGUUCCUUGGCUCUUUUAAUAUCUUUGCCUUCUCCCGUUGCCCUCCAGGUCUAGGAAUGGAAGUGUUUUGCUGAUGUAGCUAAUGUUGGGGUCAAAGAAAGAAUAUAAUACACUUAUGAAAAAGAGACAGCCUCAUCAAUCCAGUUUUUCUUGGCUCAGUCAGCAGAAGAAACAGAAAUGCUGUCAUUGCUUACAUGUGAGAUAAAGGAUAAAAAGAGGGAAUGUGUUGGUUUACUGCAAAGGCCAUUCUUUUGGUUUGAGAACAUUGCUGGAAAUAACCUGAGCUGAGAAAAGCUCCCUAUGAGGAAUACAUGUUAUGGGAAACUGUUAAAGGCAAAGCUUGGUCACUGACCUUCUCCGUGUAGUUUAAUCAAGCUGCAAGCACCCCACCAAAAAAGACAGCUGCUUAAAGAAGAGAGCCCUCAACAAGCCAGGACAUUUUACCUUUCCUCUAUUACAUGAGUUGGGGAUAAGACACAAGUGCGCAAUAAAUUUCUAGUUCUCGCAUUCAGAGGCUGCACUAUAAUAAUGAUAGACUAUAAAUCACAGAAAAAAUGUUACCUUUAUUUUAGGACGGUCGAUAGCUAGAAACAGUGCUCACCAAUAGCACAGAUGUCUAGCAGAUAUAAAAACAAAUGCUUGGCAGUUGUUUAAAAAUGGGAAGUACGAGGAUCUGCCCCGAAAUAUAUUAGAAAACAGCAGCAGUUCAUCGUUUUGUCAAGUUUCCAGUUUUGCAAUUUACUAUUUUUUUAAAAAAAAAUCCCGUGUUCCGUUGUUGAAGAUAGAACUGCAACUUUGGGAAAGAGAAAAAAUUUUGGUCACGCAUUUCUGCAAAACUCUUGUAAACAUUUGUGGAUGGUAUCUACAUACACGAGCUUUUAUAUAAAUGUGUUUUAAAGUUUAAGGAAAAUUGAACGUGAGGAAUUGAAGUAAGAUGAGGCUGUAUACGAAUGGGAGGCUCCUGCAAGGACCCGAGGGGACUGGAACUAGGAUUUCAAUGUGCCAACUAUUAGCUAAUUGUGAAGAUGACACUGCCUGGCCAGACUCAGAGUCCACAUCCCAGCGGCUGCCUCAAAAGAGCUGUUAGAAGAAGAAAAUGCUCAUUUGUUGCAACUGAGACCAUGUGCUCUGAAAUCCAGUCAUGGGCAUUGGAAAUGGAGAUCCCUCUAAAAACUGUGGCAAUGCUGAGGGUCCAAGAGGCUCUUGAUACCACUCCUGGAGAGGUUGUUUUCUCUGGAAGCAGGAACUGAGAGUGAAUUUGGACUAUUCAGGGAGCCUGAUGUCCAAGACUGAGCCAGUGUAUUUUGGCAUUGUUUUAUUCUAACCUCCACCAGAUUAUCGUGAUCAAUAUGGAAGUAAAAUCUACAAGUUCAAAUGAGACUUAGAGUUAUUCUCUGAAGAUUUAGCAACAAAGACUGCCAAGUGUUUAAUCAAAAGGCAAUGUACAAGGGGCCAGGGAUACAGUGAUGAGCAAAAAGAUUUCUGUGCCUUCAUUGACCCUAUAUUUUAGCAAGAGAGACAGAUUGCAUUUUCUCACGAUAAAAAUGGAUAGUUGUGGCUUGGAAAAUGGGAAACUGGACCAACUAUGAACUAGAGCAAAGUUGAAGACAACUCUAAAUGUUUCGAGAGUAUUUUUGGUAAUUCCCUGAGCUUUCCUGACAAUUGGUCCUUCUACCCUCACUGCAUCCUGUGGGAUAAUGUUACAUACCCGAAGUCCGGGAGGCAGCACGGUGCAACUUCAGGGGUAGUAGCAGUUUUCCUUUUUUGUUUUUUUUUCAAUUAAACGGUUUUUCCGAG
Equus caballus (horse) is the source of this 2066-nucleotide long non-coding RNA. The record is from Ensembl. Lineage: Eukaryota; Metazoa; Chordata; Mammalia; Perissodactyla; Equidae.